GUCUGUUCAACCAGACGACAAGCUGCUAGUCUCAAACCUGUUGGAAUAAGUGUACGAUCUGGUGAAAGAAUCUGGGAAGAAGCCAAAAAGCAAAUUGCCGAUGGCAAAGAAGUAGAUGUCUCAGGCAAGAAGCCAGGAAGAUCUGGCCGAAAGAGAAAGGAGCUGGAUCUAGAGAGGACCUCAACAAUCCCACUAAAUAAAAGAAGGACAAUUCGAUCUCUGGCA
RNAcentral lists this ribosomal RNA (225 nucleotides) under Triticum aestivum (bread wheat). RNAcentral describes it as "partial small subunit ribosomal RNA". Lineage: Eukaryota; Viridiplantae; Streptophyta; Magnoliopsida; Poales; Poaceae. The record is from RNAcentral.